Molecule: ribosomal RNA, 435 nt
Filed under: uncultured bacterium
Lineage: Bacteria
Description: partial 16S ribosomal RNA
Rfam family: Bacterial small subunit ribosomal RNA
Source: RNAcentral
AGCGAACGCUGGCGGCAGGCUUAACACAUGCAAGUCGAGCGGGCACUUUCGGGUGUCAGCGGCGGACGGGUGAGUAACGCGUGGGAACGUGCCCUCUGGUUCGGAAUAACUCAGGGAAACUUGAGCUAAUACUGGAUACGCCCUUUUGGGGAAAGGCUUGCUGCCGGAGGAUCGGCCCGCGUCUGAUUAGCUAGUUGGUGAGGUAACGGCUCACCAAGGCGACGAUCAGUAGCUGGUCUGAGAGGAUGAUCAGCCACACUGGGACUGAGACACGGCCCAGACUCCUACGGGAGGCAGCAGUGGGGAAUAUUGGACAAUGGGCGCAAGCCUGAUCCAGCCAUGCCGCGUGAGUGAUGAAGGCCUUAGGGUUGUAAAGCUCUUUUAUCCGGGACGAUAAUGACGGUACCGGAGGAAUAAGCCCCGGCUAACUUCGUG